RNAcentral lists this ribosomal RNA (471 nucleotides) under uncultured bacterium. Its description in RNAcentral is "bacterial SSU rRNA". It matches the Rfam family "Bacterial small subunit ribosomal RNA", at positions 24 to 518 of the family's 1533-position model. The record is from RNAcentral.
UCAGGAUGAACGCUGGCGGCGUGCUUAACACAUGCAAGUCGAACGAAGUCAGCCUCGGGUUGGUUAGUGGCGGACGGGUGCGUAACACGUAGGUGACCUGCCCUAAAGUGGGGAAUAACUCCGCUAACGCGGAGCUAAUACCGCAUAUGGUUACUCAUUCGAUUGGGUAACUAAAGUCGUAAGAUGCUUUAGGAUGGGCCUGCGGCGGAUUAGCUAGUUGGUGGGGUAAUGGCCUACCAAGGCGAUGAUCCGUAGGGGGCGUGAGAGCGUGACCCCCCACAUUGGCACUGAGACACGGGCCAAACUCCUACGGGAGGCAGCAGUGAGGAAUAUUGCACAAUGGGCGAAAGCCUGAUGCAGCAACGCCGCGUGAGGGACGAAGGCCUUCGGGUCGUAAACCUCUUUUCUGAGGGACGAGACAAGGACGGUACCUCAGGAAUAAGUCUCGGCUAACUACGUGCCAGCCGCCGC